This 255-nucleotide ribosomal RNA is filed under the name uncultured bacterium. RNAcentral's name for it is "partial 16S ribosomal RNA". It matches the Rfam family "Bacterial small subunit ribosomal RNA", at positions 524 to 776 of the family's 1533-position model. The record is from RNAcentral.
UACGUAGGACCCAAGCGUUAUCCGGAGUGACUGGGCGUAAAGAGUUGCGUAGGUGGUUAUAUAAGUGAAUAGUGAAAUCUGGCGGCUCAACCGUACAGGCUAUUAUUCAAACUGUAUAACUCGAGAAUGGUAGAGGUAACUGGAAUUUCUUGUGUAGGAGUGAAAUCCGUAGAUAUAAGAAGGAACACCAAUGGCGUAGGCAGGUUACUGGACCAUUUCUGACACUGAGGCACGAAAGCGUGGGGAGCGAACCGG